Molecule: ribosomal RNA, 253 nt
Filed under: uncultured bacterium
Lineage: Bacteria
Description: partial 16S ribosomal RNA
Rfam family: Bacterial small subunit ribosomal RNA
Source: RNAcentral
GACGUAGGGCGCGAGCGUUGUCCGGAUUUAUUGGGCGUAAAGAGCUCGUAGGCGGCUUGUCGCGUCGUCCGUGAAAACCUGCAGCUCAACUGCAGGCUUGCGGUCGAUACGGGCAGGCUGGAGUUCGGUAGGGGAGACUGGAAUUCCUGGUGUAGCGGUGAAAUGCGCAGAUAUCAGGAGGAACACCGGUGGCGAAGGCGGGUCUCUGGGCCGAUACUGACGCUGAGGAACGAAAGCGUGGGGAGCGAACAGG